AAAAAAGAGGGCUAUUGUGACAAAAUUUUGAGACAAAUUGUUUUUGUCACAAAUUUGUGACAUUCUAGUGACAUUAAUGUGACUAAAAUUUUCAGUCAUAUUAUAGUAGCUGUUUAGUCACAAUAUUGUGACAAUCUAAGUGGUAGUUAAUUUUCGUCACAAACUGUGACAUUUUAGAGACAUUAAUGUGACUAAAAUUUUUUAGUCAUAAAAUAGUAACUGUUUAGUCAUAAUAUUGUAACGAUUUAAGCCGUUGUUAAUUUUCGUCAGAAUUAGUAACAUAAAUAUGCCGAAAAGAGAUUUCGUAACAAUCGUGACAUAACAAUAACUUUUUGACCGUUAAUGUGUGAAUUUUUGGCAGAACAGAGAGUUUCAAAUUGUGGCGAAAGAAAAACUAAAUCUUAGUUACUAAUUGGUAUAAACCAAUGCAUAUUAAACUGUUGUAAAUAUGAGAAGCAAGUUGGAGGUUUACUAAACUACUAACAUUUAUUUAUUUAUUUCUUCUAAUUGGUGUUAUGAAUAUAAUAAAGAGAUAAAUUAUGCAAACAUUUAUAUAUUUUGGUCUCGUAAUCAUGCUACAUUUAAGAAAUUUUGCAAAAAAUUUGAUUUCAGUGCAAUGUAACAUUAAAGUAAUGAUCCAGUUGUUCACACUGAUUCUUUGUACAAGUAUACGUGUGCAACUAAAACUAUAAAAUAUUAAUCUAGUUUUUUUUUGUCAACAAUAUUAAUCUAGUUAAAGUUAGAAUUUUCUGUGUGAAGAAAAGAGUGGAUAUAUUGUUUUAAGAGAUAUAAAUAUUCAUUGUCGUUUAUGUAAUAUAGUUAUAUAAAAUUAAAUGGAAGUGUUAGCGAACCUAUGUUAUGGAAAUGAAAUAAAUAAAAUGGCAAUGGAGAGAUAGAAAUUUUGUGAUGCCAAGUUAAAGAAGGAUUAUGUUUGUAUGGGAAUUUAAAAAAAAAAAUUAAUUCUUACUGGAAUUUUUAGCCCUUUCUCAAAAAACAUUUCCAGUAGAGACAGUUUUCAAUUUUAGGAAAGUAUAAAAUUUAGUAGUUGAAGAAAGACGGACAAAGUAAGCACAUACCGUCAUUACUCUUCGGUCAUUGGUAUCCAAAGAUUAUCGGUCAUUACUCAUUAGUACCCAAAUAUUUAAUUUUAGAAAGGAGUAUAAGAAAUUAAUUAGAGAAUCAAAGUAGAGCGAUAAAUCCCGGUAAAAAAGCAUUAAAAUCCGGGUUGUUACCGUAAUAGGCACCAAACGUUAUUACUCAUUAGUACGUAUCCAAAGAUUUAAUCGAAUACAAUAUAUAUAAAUACACAAGUUAAAAACUUACUCUCUCCCUCAUUCACAAGUUUACCUAAAAACCUAAGCCGUCUCUUUUUUGGUUUCUAAAUUUUCACAAUCACUAAUUUCAGUUGCAUUACAUGCAUCUUCUAAUCAUGGGUGUGCGCCUUUAUGAGAGAUGAUCAAUUACCCAGCCUAUCGAUGUUGGAAGACCUUUUUCUCUGUGCAGAAUUUGCAGAGUGACGAUAAUAGUGUUGAUGUAAUCCGAUUGGAACAGAUCGUCAACCUCCCAAGAUGGCCGGUUUACAAGAUCGAGACUCUGUUAAUAAGGCCGGUGCGGAAAUAACACUACAAGAUUUGAUGAAUCUAUUCAUUUGUUUUCCUCUGCUUCUGGGAUUUUCUUCUUCGUUUAGUUUAUUCUUUCUGAUAUUGUUUAACAGACUCUUGUUCGAUGUAUAAUGUAUUAUAAUAAUCUUUUUUUUUUGAAAAUUGUAUUAUAAUAAUCUUGACAUAUCUAUAUAAAUUUUUGUGUAU
Molecule: long non-coding RNA, 1808 nt
Organism: Brassica napus (rape)
Lineage: Eukaryota; Viridiplantae; Streptophyta; Magnoliopsida; Brassicales; Brassicaceae
Exons: 2
Source: RefSeq, a predicted model, not a curated record